AUACGUAGGUGACAAGCGUUAUCCGGAUUUACUGGGCGUAAAGGGCGUGUAGGCGGUCUUGCAAGUCAGAAGUGAAAUUCCUGAGCUCAACUCGGGCGCUGCUUCUGAAACUGCAGGACUUGAGUGCUGGAGGGGAUAGCGGAAUUCCUAGUGGAGCGGUAAAAUGCGCAGAUAUUAGGAAGAACACCGGUGGCGAAGGCGACUAACUGGACAGUAACUGACGCUGAGGCGCGAAAGCGUGGGGGGCAAACAGGAUGAGAUCCCCUGGUAGUCCACGCCGUAAACGAUGAAUACUAGGUGUAGGGGGUAUCGACUCCCUCUGUGCCGCAGUUAACACAAUAAGUAUUCCGCCUGGGGAGUACGGCCGCAAGGUUGAAACUCAAAUGAAUUGACGGG
RNAcentral lists this ribosomal RNA (396 nucleotides) under uncultured bacterium. RNAcentral's name for it is "partial 16S ribosomal RNA". It matches the Rfam family "Bacterial small subunit ribosomal RNA", at positions 523 to 917 of the family's 1533-position model. The record is from RNAcentral.